Molecule: long non-coding RNA, 603 nt
Organism: Camelina sativa (false flax)
Lineage: Eukaryota; Viridiplantae; Streptophyta; Magnoliopsida; Brassicales; Brassicaceae
Source: RefSeq, a predicted model, not a curated record
CUUCUUACCUGGUUUCAUAUUUUUACAAAUGUCGAGUACUACAAUCUUUUUUUAUCUCUUUAGUUCUGUUCUUCCACCUGGAGUCCUCACUCAAACUAUCUAUAUUCAUCAGCCGAGAGAAACAAACAUAAAGCGGCAUCUUCUUACAAGUGUUGAAGACGAAGAACAGUGCCUUGGGACUGUUUGGCGUUUUUCCAUCAAGCUUUGCCAGACUUGGUUGGAAGUUGACUAUACUGUUCAUGUAGCAAAGCAAAAUUUGUAUUUUCUUUUUCUCUUUCUUUCCUGAUAAGAUGCAAUGUGUUUGGAAUGUAUAGAUGAAUAUGUUAGGCAUAGAUGAAUGUUAGGGUGUAAAAAGGAAUAGAUGAAAAUGUGUUAGGGUGUGAAUGGUAUAGAUGAAAAUGUUAGGGUGUGAAUGGUAUAGAUGAAUGUUAGGCAUAAUGUAUAGGGUGUGAAUAUAGAUGAAUAUGUUAGGGUGUGAAUGGUAGAUGAAUGUUAGGGUGUGAUUGUGUGAAAGGUAGAUGAUAAAUGUUGUUAAAGUGUGAAUGGUAUAGAUGAAUGUUAGGGUGUGAUUGUGUGAAUGGAUGAAUGUUGUUAAAGUGUGAA